This 630-nucleotide ribosomal RNA is filed under the name uncultured Actinomycetes bacterium. Its description in RNAcentral is "bacterial SSU rRNA". It matches the Rfam family "Bacterial small subunit ribosomal RNA", at positions 230 to 870 of the family's 1533-position model. The record is from RNAcentral. Lineage: Bacteria; Bacillati; Actinomycetota; Actinomycetes.
UUCGCGGCCUAUCAGCUUGUUGGUGAGGUAACGGCUCACCAAGGCGACGACGGGUAGCCGGCCUGAGAGGGUGACCGGCCACACUGGGACUGAGACACGGCCCAGACUCCUACGGGAGGCAGCAGUGGGGAAUAUUGCACAAUGGGCGCAAGCCUGAUGCAGCAACGCCGCGUGAGGGACGACGGCCUUCGGGUUGUAAACCUCUUUUAGUAGGGAAGAAGCGAAAGUGACGGUACUUGCAGAAAAAGCGCCGGCUAACUACGUGCCAGCAGCCGCGGUAAUACGUAGGGCGCAAGCGUUAUCCGGAAUUAUUGGGCGUAAAGAGCUCGUAGGCGGUUUGUCGCGUCUGCUGUGAAAACCCGAGGCUCAACCUCGGGCCUGCAGUGGGUACGGGCAGACUAGAGUGCGGUAGGGGAGAUUGGAACUCCUGGUGUAGCGGUGGAAUGCGCAGAUAUCAGGAAGAACACCGAUGGCGAAGGCAGAUCUCUGGGCCGUAACUGACGCUGAGGAGCGAAAGGGUGGGGAGCAAACAGGCUUAGAUACCCUGGUAGUCCACCCCGUAAACGUUGGGAACUAGUUGUGGGGUCCAUUCCACGGAUUCCGUGACGCAGCUAACGCAUUAAGUUCCCC